This 486-nucleotide ribosomal RNA is filed under the name uncultured bacterium. Its description in RNAcentral is "partial 16S ribosomal RNA". It matches the Rfam family "Bacterial small subunit ribosomal RNA", at positions 28 to 507 of the family's 1533-position model. The record is from RNAcentral.
GACGAACGCUGGCGGCGUGCUUAACACAUGCAAGUCGAACGCUGAAGACCUGGCUUUUGUUGGGUUGGAUGAGUGGCGAACGGGUGAGUAACACGUGAGUAACCUGCCCUCUUCUUUGGGAUAACGCCCGGAAACGGGUGCUAAUACUGGAUAUUCACUGAUCUUCGCAUGGGGGUUGGUGGAAAGGUUUGUUCUGGUGGGGGAUGGGCUCGCGGCCUAUCAGCUUGUUGGUGGGGUGAUGGCCUACCAAGGCUUUGACGGGUAGCCGGCCUGAGAGGGUGACCGGUCACAUUGGGACUGAGAUACGGCCCAGACUCCUACGGGAGGCAGCAGUGGGGAAUAUUGCACAAUGGGCGAAAGCCUGAUGCAGCGACGCCGCGUGAGGGAUGGAGGCCUUCGGGUUGGAAACCUCUUUCGCUCAUGGUCAAGCCGCAACUGUGGGUUGUGGUGAGGGUAGUGGGUAAAGAAGCGCCGGCUAACUACGUG